This 492-nucleotide ribosomal RNA is filed under the name uncultured bacterium. Its description in RNAcentral is "partial 16S ribosomal RNA". It matches the Rfam family "Bacterial small subunit ribosomal RNA", at positions 29 to 507 of the family's 1533-position model. The record is from RNAcentral.
AGUGAACGCUGGCGGUAGGCCUAACACAUGCAAGUCGAACGGCAGCACAGUAAGAGCUUGCUCUUACGGGUGGCGAGUGGCGGACGGGUGAGGAAUACAUCGGAAUCUACUUUUUCGCGGGGGAUAACGUAGGGAAACUUACGCUAAUACCGCAUACGACCUACGGGUGAAAGCAGGGGAUCGUCGGACCUUGCGCGAUUGAAUGAGCCGAUGUCGGAUUAGCUAGUUGGCGGGGUAAAGGCCCACCAAGGCGACGAUCCGUAGCUGGUCUGAGAGGAUGAUCAGCCACACUGGAACUGAGACACGGUCCAGACUCCUACGGGAGGCAGCAGUGGGGAAUAUUGGACAAUGGGCGCAGGCCUGAUCCAGCCAUACCGCGUGGGUGAAGAAGGCCUUCGGGUUGUAAAGCCCUUUUGUUGGGAAAGAAAAGCAGCAGGUUAAUACCCCGCUGUUCUGACGGUACCCAAAGAAUAAGCACCGGCUAACUUCGUG